Anaeramoeba ignava is the source of this 73-nucleotide non-coding RNA. Lineage: Eukaryota; Anaeramoebidae. The record is from the annotation of a GenBank genome assembly.
GAUCUUGUAGCCCAAUGGAUAAGGCGUUAGAUUCCGGAUCUAAAGAUUGUGGGUUCAAGUCCCAUCAAGAUCG